This 273-nucleotide unclassified non-coding RNA is filed under the name Hevea brasiliensis (rubber tree). Lineage: Eukaryota; Viridiplantae; Streptophyta; Magnoliopsida; Malpighiales; Euphorbiaceae. The record is from RNAcentral.
CCGGGAUUUUCUUUGUUAAGUACUUCAACCACCACUUCAAUAUCUUCUGCACCGGGAUUUUCGCUUGCUGCUGCAUCAACUAGUUCUGCAGUCUCCUCACCAGCAUUUUCGUUUUCGACCUCGAGCUCAGCAGCAUCAGGUCCAGCAAUUUCAUUAUCAACGCCAACGCCGAGUGCAGCAUCACCUGCACCUUCAUUCUCUUUUUCCAUGCCUGCUGCGGCUUCGUCAUCCCCAUCACCUUUUUCAGCUUCGUCAUCCCCAUCACCUUUUUCA